Molecule: ribosomal RNA, 868 nt
Filed under: uncultured archaeon
Lineage: Archaea
Description: bacterial SSU rRNA
Rfam family: Archaeal small subunit ribosomal RNA
Source: RNAcentral
UCCCGGUUGAUCCUGCCGGACCUGACUGCUAUCGGAUUGGUACUAAGCCAUGCGAGUCGUUGUAGCAAUACAAGGCGGACGGCUCAGUAACACGUAGUCAACCUAACCUAUGGACGUGGAUAACCUCGGGAAACUGAGAAUAAACCGCGAUAGAUCAUUAUGCCUGGAAUGGCUUAUGGUUCAAACAAUUUAUUGCCGUAGGAUGGGACUGCGGCCUAUCAGCUUGUUGGUGAGGUAAUGGCCCACCAAGGCUAUAACAGGUACGGGCUCUGAGAGGAGAAGCCCGGAGAUGGGUACUGAGACACGGACCCAGGCCCUAUGGGGCGCAGCAGGCGAGAAACCUUAGCAAUGUGCGAAAGCACGACUAGGUUAAUCCGAGUGAUUUCUGUUGAAGAAAUCUUUUGUCAGUCGUAAAACCACAGACGAAUAAGGGGUGGGCAAGUCUGGUGUCAGCCGCCGCGGUAAUACCAGCACCUCGAGUGGUCAGGAGGUUUAUUGGGCCUAAAGCAUCCGUAGCCGGCUACGCAAGUCUCCGGUUAAAUCCAGCUGCUCAACAGAUGGGCUGCCGGAGAUACUACAUAGCUAGGGAGCGGGAGAGGUAGACGGUAUUCUGUGGGUAGGGGUAAAAUCCACUGAUCCAUAGAGGACCACCAGUGGCGAAGGCGGUCUACCAGAACGCGUUCGACGGUGAGGGAUGAAAGCUGGGGGAGCAAACCGGAUUAGAUACCCGGGUAGUCCCAGCUGUAAACGAUGCAAACUCGGUGAUGCAUUGGCUUAUGGCCAAUGCAGUGCCGCAGGGAAGCCGUUAAGUUUGCCGCCUGGGAAGUACGGACGCAAGUCUGAAACUUAAAGGAAUGGCGGGGGAGCA